This 253-nucleotide ribosomal RNA is filed under the name uncultured bacterium. RNAcentral describes it as "partial 16S ribosomal RNA". It matches the Rfam family "Bacterial small subunit ribosomal RNA", at positions 524 to 776 of the family's 1533-position model. The record is from RNAcentral.
UACGAAGGGGGCUAGCGUUGUUCGGAUUUACUGGGCGUAAAGCGCACGUAGGCGGCUUGUUAAGUCAGGGGUGAAAUCCUGGAGCUCAACUCCAGAACUGCCUUUGAUACUGGCGAGCUUGAGUUCGGGAGAGGUGAGUGGAACUGCGAGUGUAGAGGUGAAAUUCGUAGAUAUUCGCAAGAACACCAGUGGCGAAGGCGGCUCACUGGCCCGAUACUGACGCUGAGGCACGAAAGCGUGGGGAGCAAACAGG